GUGAAGGAAAUUGCCCCUGGUAUGGAC
RNAcentral lists this non-coding RNA (27 nucleotides) under Rattus norvegicus (Norway rat). The record is from RNAcentral. Lineage: Eukaryota; Metazoa; Chordata; Mammalia; Rodentia; Muridae.